Phrynosoma platyrhinos (Desert horned lizard) is the source of this 72-nucleotide non-coding RNA. The record is from the annotation of a GenBank genome assembly. NCBI's taxonomy places the organism in Eukaryota, Metazoa, Chordata, Lepidosauria, Squamata, Phrynosomatidae.
GCCAAUGUUGUGCAGAGGGUAGAGUAAUGGAUUAGGACUUUGGAGGCCAGGGUUCAAAUCCCUGCUCAGUCA